This 216-nucleotide unclassified non-coding RNA is filed under the name Hevea brasiliensis (rubber tree). Lineage: Eukaryota; Viridiplantae; Streptophyta; Magnoliopsida; Malpighiales; Euphorbiaceae. The record is from RNAcentral.
GUUUGCUUAUUUAAUGAAAAAAUAAUAGAAUCAGAUGCUAAGCUUCUGCUUCAAGAUGUAUUCUUGAACAAUUUCAUUCCAUAUCAAACCUUAUUUGUUCUUUUCAUUCACUCCCAUUGUUCCAGAAAGUGUUAUCUCCAGUUGAAAAAACCUUAUUGUUGAAGGUAGCAAUGAACACAAUGACACCUUGUAAACUUAAACUUCCCUUUUCAAAAC